Long non-coding RNA from Xenia sp. Carnegie-2017, 509 nucleotides. RefSeq lists it as uncharacterized. The record is from RefSeq and is a predicted model, not a curated record. The transcript is spliced from 2 exons. NCBI's taxonomy places the organism in Eukaryota, Metazoa, Cnidaria, Anthozoa, Malacalcyonacea, Xeniidae.
UUAAAACAAAGUCAACUGCGAAAAACAUCAAUUGCCUAAUAGUAGCCCGAAGUUUUUUGCCCGAUUCCCGCGCCAUCUUGGAUUUAUCAUGAAUGUCACGCUGCCGUCUUAAUAAGUCUUAAAAUACGUCACACUCGUCAGCGAUCUAGUUUUAUUAUAUCUAUGACUUAUAUGUACCUAUAAUUACCUAUAUAUUCAGAGGAUAAAGUAGUUGUCACAGGUAUUUGUUGAAAAGUUUGAGGUUCAUGAGAAAAGGCUUUACAUCACAUGGGAGAAAUGGUCCAAAUAUUGGAUAUGCUACAAUGACCAGAAUAUGCUAAGCCAAUCAUGUUGUACCGAAAUAUGUGUUUGUGUGCUGUAGGGAAAUCCUAUUUAUGCCAUAGUUUUAUUUUUGUUCAAUUUAAUGAAACUCGGGAUUAUGUUCUCGUCGUCAAGAAAGAGCAAAUAUAACAAAUGAAUUAUUUAGAACUAUAGUUGCUCUAGUGAAUUAUUAAAAGACAGAUCACGUA